GCGCCCGUAGCUCAGGGGAUAGAGCGGACGCCUCCGGAGCGUCAGGCCGCAGGUUCGAAUCCUGCCGGGCGCG
RNAcentral lists this transfer RNA (73 nucleotides) under Solirubrobacterales bacterium. Its description in RNAcentral is "tRNA-Arg". It matches the Rfam family "tRNA". Rfam says of the family: Transfer RNA (tRNA) molecules are approximately 80 nucleotides in length. Lineage: Bacteria; Bacillati; Actinomycetota; Thermoleophilia; Solirubrobacterales. The record is from RNAcentral.